UUCACCUUUAAAGACAGUCCAGAGAGGCUGAAAAGGAUGCGAAGAAUGUGGGAUUACUGUAUGCGUACAGUGUAUUUGACAUAUCUAUAAGUAUACCUAUAACCUCUCGGGCAUAACGCUCGGGAGUUUUUUUAU
This is a non-coding RNA of Kurthia sp. 11kri321, 135 nucleotides long. Lineage: Bacteria; Bacillati; Bacillota; Bacilli; Caryophanales; Caryophanaceae. The record is from Rfam.